CUACGUGCCAGCAGCCGCGGUAAUACGUAGGGCGCGAGCGUUGUCCGGAGUUAUUGGGCGUAAAGGGCUUGUAGGCGGUUGGUCGCGUCUGCCGUGAAAUCCUCUGGCUUAACUGGGGGCGUGCGGUGGGUACGGGCUGACUUGAGUGCGGUAGGGGAGACUGGAACUCCUGGUGUAGCGGUGGAAUGCGCAGAUAUCAGGAAGAACACCGGUGGCGAAGGCGGGUCUCUGGGCCGUUACUGACGCUGAGGAGCGAAAGCGUGGGGAGCGAACAGGAUUAGAUACCCUGGUAGUCCACGCUGUAAACGUUGGGCACUAGGUGUGGGGGCCACCCGUGGUUUCUGCGCCGUAGCUAACGCUUUAAGUGCCCCGCCUGGGGAGUACGGCCGCAAGGCUAAAACUCAAAGGAAUUGACGGGGGCCCGCACAAGCGGCGGAGCAUGCGGAUUAAUUCGAUGCAACGCGAAGAACCUUACCAAGGCUUGACAUGC
This 490-nucleotide ribosomal RNA is filed under the name uncultured bacterium. RNAcentral's name for it is "bacterial SSU rRNA". It matches the Rfam family "Bacterial small subunit ribosomal RNA", at positions 501 to 989 of the family's 1533-position model. The record is from RNAcentral.